UCACCAACUCGACUUGUGUAGAACCUCUC
This 29-nucleotide non-coding RNA is filed under the name Rattus norvegicus (Norway rat). Lineage: Eukaryota; Metazoa; Chordata; Mammalia; Rodentia; Muridae. The record is from RNAcentral.